UACGUAGGUGGCAAGCGUUGUCCGGAUUUACUGGGCGUAAAGAGCGCGCAGGCGGUCGUUCAAGUCGCGUGUGAAAGCCCCCGGCUCAACUGGGGAGGGUCACGCGAUACUGAUCGACUCGAAGGCAGGAGAGGGUAGUGGAAUUCCCGGUGUAGUGGUGAAAUGCGUAGAUAUCGGGAGGAACACCAGUGGCGAAGGCGACUACCUGGCCUGUUCUUGACGCUGAGGCGCGAAAGCUAGGGGAGCGAACAGG
Molecule: ribosomal RNA, 253 nt
Filed under: uncultured bacterium
Lineage: Bacteria
Description: partial 16S ribosomal RNA
Rfam family: Bacterial small subunit ribosomal RNA
Source: RNAcentral